Molecule: signal recognition particle RNA, 301 nt
Filed under: Dufourea novaeangliae
Lineage: Eukaryota; Metazoa; Arthropoda; Insecta; Hymenoptera; Halictidae
Description: Metazoan signal recognition particle RNA
Rfam family: Metazoan signal recognition particle RNA
About the family: The signal recognition particle (SRP) is a universally conserved ribonucleoprotein. It is involved in the co-translational targeting of proteins to membranes.
Source: Rfam by way of RNAcentral
GCUGGGGGUGUGGCGGCUCCUGUAAUCCGGCUACUCGGAGGCUAGUUAUGAAGGAGGGUCUUGACGCACAGAUUCAACUGUUGGUGUUAGGGUCACGUUGACUGGGCGUCCGCGCUAAGCUCGCCAUCAAUAUGGGCACCCUUGAGGAAUCUUGGGCGGCCAGGUUGGCUAAAGAGAGGCGAACCGGGCCAGAGGGGAAACCCAGCAGCCAAAAGUCUCCGUGGCGGGCAGUAGUGGGAUCGCGCCCGGGAGUGGACGGCAUCAGUAGCUUGGGCAAAUAUUAGACUCGACACAUAACUUU